Molecule: long non-coding RNA, 436 nt
Filed under: Coturnix japonica (Japanese quail)
Lineage: Eukaryota; Metazoa; Chordata; Aves; Galliformes; Phasianidae
Description: lncRNA (ENSCJPG00005019638.1)
Source: RNAcentral
AGGAUAGUACCAAAGGAGUACUUACUGUUACAAUAACUUUUUUUUCUUUCUUUCUAUGUUGUGUGCUAUAGGUGCACUUUUGGAAAGACAACUCCAGAUGAAAUUCAAAUGAACAGAAGAGAAGGGGACUAACGCAAGAGAAAGGGGCCGUGACUUCCAUAAAAUCAGCCAGCAGCUCAGUGACACAGGCACCAUUGUUUCUUCCUUCUUAUGUAUUGAGAACCAGACUGGAAGUAAUCCAAGCAGCUCCUUUUUAGCCUGAAGUAGUGAAAUAGUACUGUCUGUGGACCCACAUCAGAAUUGAGAUAACAACUCCCUUGUGCAUGGCCUUGUUCAGUUACAGUCACAGACUGUCAUAAACCCUGCUCUCAAGGUAUGUACAGUUUGAAUACUCAUGAUGGAUAAGAAGUGGGGAAUGAAGCUAAAUUAUUUAGGU